CAGCAGCCGCGGGAAUACGUAGGGUGCAAGCGUUGUCCGGAAUUAUUGGGCGUAAAGAGCUCGUAGGCGGUUUGUCGCGUCUGCUGUGAAAUCUGGGGGCUCAACCCCCAGCCUGCAGUGGGUACGGGCAGACUAGAGUGCGGUAGGGGAGAUUGGAAUUCCUGGUGUAGCGGUGGAAUGCGCAGAUAUCAGGAGGAACACCGAUGGCGAAGGCAGAUCUCUGGGCCGUAACUGACGCUGAGGAGCGAAAGCAUGGGGAGCGAACAGGAUUAGAUACCCCAGUAGUCCCUGUCUCUUAUAA
Molecule: ribosomal RNA, 301 nt
Filed under: uncultured bacterium
Lineage: Bacteria
Description: partial 16S ribosomal RNA
Rfam family: Bacterial small subunit ribosomal RNA
Source: RNAcentral